GGGCGUCCGCCCACAGGGCGACUGCAAUGAAGGAAACUGUGUCCUGCGGCUUCCCGUAACAGAGCUGUGUGUCCACGCUCCCUUUUCCGAGCAGGCGCGGACGCUUGUGCCGGAAGGUCUGACCGCCGUCGCCCAGACUGGAUAGAGUGCAAUGGCGCGAUCACGGCUCACUGCAGCCUCGACUUCCCAGGCUCAGAGAUGGGUUUCACCAUGUUUCCCAGCCUUGUCUCAAACUCCUGACCUCAAGUGAUCCGCCGUCUUGGGUCUUCAAAAGUGCUGGGAAUGCAGAAGUGAGCCACCGCAUCUGGCCCGGAAAGUGUUUUGGAGGGUAGAAAACUGCAAAUUAUAGGGCUGCCUUCAAGGAUCCCGAAGGACCCACAGAUUUGCCGCAUCAGGCUCCUAUGCGCGCCGGUAAUUUGAUGUGUUGAGAUGCACUGCCCAGUGCGUUGUUUUUACUGGAGGAGCUUGUGUGCGGAGCUCCUUGCUAGUGUCAUGUGUAUGUGUUGGGAUGGGAGAGAAGUGCAGGAGAACUAUGAGAUAAUGCCCCCUGAUCCUCAGGGUCUUAGGAGGUAUGGUCGGAGAGGCUAAGCUAAAGCGUGAAGGCCAUAUGUAGGGCCUUCUGUGUAGUGCAGAAAAGGGAGAGGUAUGUGGUUUGAAAGAAUAGGGAUGACAUGGAGGAUGCGACUCCUGGUUGGAUCUAUAAACUAAUGUCUUUGGGACGAAAGCACAUGCAACCUUUUGAAAAUGGAUGGGUGAUAACGAAAGACCAUUUCAGAGAAGAAACACCAGGGUGCAAAGGCUCAAGAGGCAUACUGGAAGUACAGUGAAGAGAGCAAUCUAACUGAAAUGGGAAAAAAAGAAACAAAGAGUAAAAAGAUUUGAUGAGAAAGAUGGAAUCGAUUUUUAAAUUUUUUUAUCUACACAACAAAAUUUAGCAUCUUAACCAUUUUCGAGUGAAUAAUUCGUUAGUAUUAAGUAUAUUUACCUUGUGCAGCCAGUCUCCAGAAUUCUUUUCAUCUUGCAAAACAAACCCCGCACCCAUUAAACAAUUUCUCAUUCGCCAUUUUCCAGCUAGCCUUGGUAACCUCCAUUCUAGUUCUGUCUCUAUGAAUUUGACUACUUUAGGUACCUCAUGUAAGUGAUAUCAUACAGUAUUUGUCUUUUUGCGACUGGCGUAGUUCACAUAGCAUAAUCUCCUUGUGGUUUAUCCAUGUUGUAGCAUGUGUCAGAAUUUCCUUCCCUUUUAAGACUAAAUAAUAUUCCACUGUAUGUAUA
Molecule: long non-coding RNA, 1275 nt
Organism: Nomascus leucogenys (northern white-cheeked gibbon)
Lineage: Eukaryota; Metazoa; Chordata; Mammalia; Primates; Hylobatidae
Exons: 3
Source: RefSeq, a predicted model, not a curated record